CAAUGGAUUUCUUGGCUCCCA
This 21-nucleotide ribosomal RNA is filed under the name Rhizoclonium hieroglyphicum. RNAcentral's name for it is "partial 5.8S rRNA". RNAcentral also lists the same sequence under 1 other name. The record is from RNAcentral. Lineage: Eukaryota; Viridiplantae; Chlorophyta; Ulvophyceae; Cladophorales; Cladophoraceae.